This is a long non-coding RNA of Sapajus apella (tufted capuchin), 124 nucleotides long. RefSeq lists it as uncharacterized. The transcript has 3 exons. The record is from RefSeq and is a predicted model, not a curated record. NCBI's taxonomy places the organism in Eukaryota, Metazoa, Chordata, Mammalia, Primates, Cebidae.
AAUCCCAGCACUUUGGGAGGCUGAGGCAGAGGCAGGCAUUAGCCUUGAGGCCAGGAGUUCGAGACCAGCCUGGUCAACAUGUGAAACCCCAUCUCUACUAAAAAUACAAAAAUUAGCUGGGUGU